UACGUAGGGUGCGAGCGUUAAUCGGAAUUACUGGGCGUAAAGCGUGCGCAGGCGGCGCGUUAAGACAGGUGUGAAAGCCCCGAGCUUAACUUGGGAAUUGCGCUUGUGACUGGCGUGCUGGAGUGUGGCAGAGGGAGGUGGAAUUCCACGUGUAGCAGUGAAAUGCGUAGAGAUGUGGAGGAACACCGAUGGCGAAGGCAGCCUCCUGGGCCAGCACUGACGCUCAUGCACGAAAGCGUAGGGAGCAAACAGG
Molecule: ribosomal RNA, 253 nt
Filed under: uncultured bacterium
Lineage: Bacteria
Description: partial 16S ribosomal RNA
Rfam family: Bacterial small subunit ribosomal RNA
Source: RNAcentral